UACGAAGGGUGCAAGCGUUAGUCGGAAUUACUGGGCGUAAAGCGUGCGUAGACGGUUAUUUAAGUCGGAUGUGAAAGCCCCGGGCUCAACCUGGGAAUUGCAUUCGAGACUGAAUAGCUAGGGUGCGGUAGAGGGAAGCGGAAUUUCCGGUGUAGCGGUGAAAUGCGUAGAUAUCGGAAGGAACAUCAGUGGCGAAAGCGGCUUCCUGGACCAGCACCGACGUUCAGGCACGAAAGCGUGGGGAGCAAACAGG
Molecule: ribosomal RNA, 253 nt
Filed under: uncultured bacterium
Lineage: Bacteria
Description: partial 16S ribosomal RNA
Rfam family: Bacterial small subunit ribosomal RNA
Source: RNAcentral